This 613-nucleotide ribosomal RNA is filed under the name Metopius maruyamensis. RNAcentral describes it as "eukaryotic LSU rRNA". It matches the Rfam family "Eukaryotic large subunit ribosomal RNA", at positions 417 to 780 of the family's 3401-position model. Lineage: Eukaryota; Metazoa; Arthropoda; Insecta; Hymenoptera; Ichneumonidae. The record is from RNAcentral.
AAACCUGAGAAACCCGAAAGAUCGAAUGGGGAGAUUCAUCGUCAGCGAGCCUUGGCGCGUGUACGGUUCGCGAUGCUCUGGGGACUUCGGUCCCUCGGCACGCGUCCGUAUGGUUCUUUGCCAGGUUUCGUCGGCGUGCACUUCUCCCCUAGUAGGACGUCGCGACCCGUUGGGUGUCGGUUUACGGCCCGGGUGGGUGCCUGUCAUGCGUUUAGCUUAACGGCGACGUGGCAGACCCCCGGUUGUCUGACCAGCUGCUCGGCGGUACUCGCAUGGUAUCGAGCCGCAAAUAUUCGAACUGCGUCCGAACCGCCGCAAGCCUGGCCAGUGUUUCCCGGAUGGACGGAUCUAGCGCCGUCACCGGGCCUGGCCGGCUGUUGGCCGGCGGUUUUCUUGGACAGGCUCUUGGAUACCGGUCGGCGACGCUACUGCUUUGGGUACUUUCAGGACCCGUCUUGAAACACGGACCAAGGAGUCUAACAUGUGCGCGAGUCAUUGGGAGCUUGUUAAGCCCAAAGGCGCAAUGAAAGUGAAGAUCCGGCCUUGCGCCGAUCGAGGGAGGAUGGGCCGCUUAGUUAAGCGGCCCCGCACUCCCGGGGCGUCUCGUUCUCAU